UUUUUUUCAGGACCGGUCUAGUCCAAUCCAAAAUAGAAGUAGACGGUUAUGGUCAUAUGGGAAAACAUACGAAAUAUAUUCAGAUUUUAUUUAGUUUUCUCCAAUAUCUCAUUUCUGAAAUUCUGGACUUGAUAACAAAUUUGAGAGAAACCUUAGUGGGUUAAUGCUGCGUAAUACAAAGCUUCCUUGAUAUUGAUAUGAAAGUUUACAGAAAACAAUAAACUUAUUAAACAUUUGACAUGAAAACUUCCCUGAAUUGGACCUCUUUGUUUAUUUUUUUUAAAUUUAUUAAGCUUGAAUAUACUCCCUCCGUCCCAUAGUUAUAGACUGAUUUCUUUUAGCACAUAGUUUAAGAAAAUCAGUUUAAGUGACAAUUUUAACAAAAAUUUUCCACAUAUACCUCUUAAUAUGGAAUUAAUGAAUAAAUUAAGUACUCCUUACUUAUCACAUUGAAACUCUCAACUUAAUUGAUCAUUUUAAUCUACAUAAACUUUCAACCAAUCACAAAAUGUUUGUUAUUCCAAAUUCAUUUAUUGAGCCUAAAAAGUUGAAUUCUUUUAUUGAGAAUACAACAACAUUAAAUGUAAUGAUAACAAUAAUGACAUUGAAUGUUGUUUCUUCAAAAAAAAAAAAAGUAAUGGUUGAAUAUUUAUUAUAAGGGCAUAAAAGUAAAACAAUGAACCAACUAAAUUUUAUAAAUAGUAAGUAGCCUAUAUAUUGGGACAUCCCAAAAUAGAAAAUCAGCUUAUAACUAUGGGACGGAGGGAGUAUAAAACAUUCACUGGGUAGCUUUCCUCUUUGUUUUAGGCAUGACUUGUUGAGAAGCUUUGCAUGACCUAAGCAAGAGAAAAUAAGUGUUGUGGUUGCCAUUAGUAUGACUUAAAUGUUUAUCUUGAUUUGAGCCCAAUAGCAUUGCUGGUUGAAGCAAUCAUGGCAUUCUCAUUUGCUCAUGAGGUAUUUACUCUGUUAGGAACCUUUUUUUGUUAUUUUCUUAGUAAAACAAAAAUGAUGCACAUGAAUAAUAAUAAUAAAUAAAUAAAAACAAAGAAUUGUGACCGUUCCCAUUAAAUAUUAAUUAGUAGCUUGACAAAUGCGAUGCGUGACAAAGAAUAAUUUAUAUUAAUACUUUAAAUAUUAUUAUAUUCAUCCACCCUACAAAAAAAAGUCUUAUUUUAUAAAAAUUAAAUAUAUAAGAAAAAUAAAGUGUAUGAAAAAGAGAUCCGUAGGAUUAUGUUUGUUUGCAAGGAAUAUAAUCCGGGAUUAUAAUCUCAUGGAUUAUAAUCCCAAGACUAUUAAUCCUAAGAUUAAAUUGUUCUUGUCACAUGUUUGUUUUUUGGAAUUAUUUACCUUUUACUAAUUUAUUUAUUUAACAAUCAUAAAAUGCCAUAAAUAUAACAUUUUAUCAAAAAUGACCAUAAUACACUCCAAAAUUCUGAUUACAUUAUUUUAAGGGUCUUUUGUCAAAAAAUUACAUUUUUUCCCUUUACAACAUCACAUUACUUAUUUUAUCCAUUUAUUCAUAACUCAAUCAUUUACAUGAAAAAUAGCAAAACAUGUCUGAAAAUUUUUCUUUUCUGGGAAACAUCAAUAUAUGAUAUUCUAAUGAACAUAUAUUUUUUCUAGAAUUUUUCAAUUCUGUUUACUAAUUUUAAAUGGUCCAAAAUAGUCAGAUCUUGCAACAUUUUUUAUAAAUCGAAAUUUUGUCCAACAAUUUUGAAAAUUUCAGGACAUACUCCUGUUAUGAACUCCCAGUAAAAAAAAUUCAAUUUUUGGAGUUAACCAUAAAGAGUUAUUCAAGUUUACUUUUAAAAUAGUCCUUUUUGUAAAAUCCAUAACUUUCAUUCUACACAUCCAAAAAUUACCAUCUUUUUACUGGAUCUUAAUAACUCAUCAUAUUAUCAUACCAAAUUUUUCUAGAAUUUUGAAAUAAUGGAAAAAGGACUAAAAUGCCCCUACAAGCAACUGACCAGGAGCUGUCCUUUCCCUUUUCUUCACAAGCUGGAGUGCUUCGACUAAAACAACCAUCAUGGAUAGUAAAAUUAACAUAUUUGAGUGCUACUACUUGAGUUUAAAAACUAGCUUACAUGUCUACCACCCCUCUUUGAUGGAUCGUAAAAAUAAGGUGUAGAUCUUAAAUGGUGGUUGAUCAAAGUGGAAGAAAGUUAGGGUUUUCUAGCCCUUUGGAAUAAAGUUUUACAUCUUCUUCCUUUAAUCCAUACAUGCAACACUCAAAAGGGUUAGAUCCAUACAUGCAACACUUAAAUACAUGUAGAUCUAAAGUUUUGAAGUUCAAAAAUAUCAACUUUUCAUUUAAUCAAACCAUCAAAAGAAAUAAAUACAAAAGCUUAGAACUUUGGGAUUAUACCUUGAUUUAAUGGCUACCCUUCUUGCUUUUCCAAAGUAGGAGAUGAAUUUUGGGAGCAUGAAGAUCCAAUCUCUCCUUCUUUCUUCCCUCGUACCCACAGUUUUCUCCCUCUUCUAUUUUGCUUCUUUUGCUUUUCUUUUAGUGAUGAGAGAAAUUAAAGAGUAAAGUAACUAUUUUGAUAAUUAAAGUGGGAUGAGUAAUUGGUAUUGGUGAAUUAGAAUAGAUACAAUCUAUGUAUGUAUCAUCAAUUGUCCAACACUUUUCUCUCUCCUCCUUAUCUUCAAUUUUACUUGCACAAUUAAAUAA
This 2671-nucleotide long non-coding RNA is filed under the name Panax ginseng (ginseng). Its description in RNAcentral is "long non-coding RNA (PGIN_LNC014991)". Lineage: Eukaryota; Viridiplantae; Streptophyta; Magnoliopsida; Apiales; Araliaceae. The record is from RNAcentral.